AAUCCAAUCAAGCCUGGCUUGGUAUUGGGCGGCCGGACUCCCCUGCGCCCCAAUUUCACCGGCUGGCCGUCGCCCGUCUUAGCGUUGUGACACACUUCUCGCUAGCAAUGGGAGCGGACCACGCCGUUAGAACCCAUGAAUUUCAAUCGAAAUUCGAUUA
This 160-nucleotide unclassified non-coding RNA is filed under the name uncultured Capnodiales. RNAcentral describes it as "sequence contains ITS2". Lineage: Eukaryota; Fungi; Ascomycota; Dothideomycetes; Capnodiales. The record is from RNAcentral.